RNAcentral lists this long non-coding RNA (314 nucleotides) under Musa acuminata (dwarf banana). Its description in RNAcentral is "long non-coding RNA (MACU_LNC007581)". The record is from RNAcentral. Lineage: Eukaryota; Viridiplantae; Streptophyta; Magnoliopsida; Zingiberales; Musaceae.
UUUGUUGAAUCUCAUAUUUUGAUGAUGAAACUACUUGAUAUAUAUUUAUGAUUUAAUCUGUGUUUUUAGUGACGUAGGAUGCUUCGAUCAGGAUGAGACAAUUAAAGCAGGAAAAUCAUGUUGUGCCGGAGGAACAUGUCAGAAGAUUGGAUGUCGGGCCGGUGGAUCGGUCGACGUAUCGACAGAAGGCUUCGGGCCGUGGACUCGGGCAUCGGGCCAAGAAGAGCGGGUAUUGUGCCAAGGAUAUCGGAGUUGCGGAGUCAACUGGCCGAUUGGGCAAUAGGCUGCAGGAGAGGACGAUGCGCCGAAGAAUC